Aedes aegypti (yellow fever mosquito) is the source of this 2896-nucleotide long non-coding RNA. RefSeq lists it as uncharacterized. Lineage: Eukaryota; Metazoa; Arthropoda; Insecta; Diptera; Culicidae. The transcript has 2 exons. The record is from RefSeq and is a predicted model, not a curated record.
GUGAGAAUCGAACUCACGACUCUCUGUUCACUAGAGAUUCUCGCUGAGAAGACGUGUAACUUUUUUUUUUCUUGUCCAUUUAACCCAAUUGCACUUCCACUCGGCUGGUUAGCCGAAAAAAAAAAAACGAUAAAUGAUAAUUAAAAAGUACUUCCUUUUGGGAUUCUUUCUAAAGUUUAUUUUAGGAUUCCUUCAACAAAUAUUGUAUAAAAAACGAGCAAAUUGUUCAGGGAUUUCUUUGAAGAAUUAUACCACUGUUUCCAGAGAUUUAUCAACGUACUUUCUAGAUAUUGUUUUAUUUAAACAACGCUACCGAAUCUUCGGGAGAUGUUAAGAUAACGACAAAUUUAUUUUCAAAGAUUCGGCUUCGAAACACUUGAACAACAAAGUCUAAUGAGAAAUUUAAUUGUAUUUUUCACAUUAAUGAAAGAAAUAUAUCUCUUUGUUCAAAAAACGCGAACAAUUUUAGAAAAUUUGGUGAUUCGAUGUAAUUUCCACAAAAACCAAGAAUGCUUCUCAGAAAAUUUUCGUUUAAUUAUCAACGUAAGGUACGAACAAAAUAAUCUAUUUUAACUUAAGAAAAUAUUAACCUUUCUCUCAAAAUAGGAUUCAGAUAAAUGGACAUUAGCGAUGCACGCAGAAAAUUUCUCUAGAGCGUGUUUUAUUUUUUUUUUUCUUAUAAGAUAUCUUUGGGGAAAUCAGCGAUGACUGGCCGUCUAGUAAAUGACAACUUUAAAGACUCUACCCUGAAAAAAAAAAACAAACUGCUUGUUUUGCUGUAGAAUUCUUUCACACAUUACUCCGAAGACCUUCCCAGCAGUUUGAUUUAUGAUUUUUUACGAACUAUCUGAGCAAUUCUGUUGGAAGUUUCGUUUAGCUAAAUUAAUUAAAUCUGGAUUGUUUCUAAAGAUUAUUUCCCUCCAAUAAUUCGUUUUAUUUUGACAGAAAAUUCUAAGUUUUUCAGAAAUUUAUCCAUUGAUUCUUCCAUUAAUUUAUCCAGAACUUUCUCUAACAUCUCCGUUUAGAGCAUCUUCAAUGAUUUGAAAUUCUUAUUUUUUUUAAUUCCAAAAGAGGUCGUCAAAGUUUUUUUUCCAAUCAUUCAUCACGAGAUGUUUCAAGGAAAAUAUUUCUGAAUUUAUGAAGAAAACUUCGAAAAAAUCCGCGAUGAAUUUCUAAUGAAAUCUAAUGAAAACUCAGUGCUACGAUUAACUACUUUUAUUCUAAACUAAUUACAAGUGGUCUGAACUCGAUCGCUGUAUUGCUAGAACUGAAGCUGGUUUUGUUUUUCUCUUCAAGCUGCACUGCACUCAAAAUAAUCCAAACGUCAUUGCUACGUGAAAAAUCACGUGAAGCAUUCCAAAUUCAUUUUACCUCCCGUUCACCUGACGAAGGUAAUAAUUACUAAUGCAUGUAUAAUCGCCAAAUGAAGACCCGGUGAUUGUUACUGUGGUUACCAUUCGCACUUACGUGGAAUUCACGUAGGCUCAUAAAUUCAUUUGGUCAUCUGCGUAUUGUGUUCAUUCUCAGUUGAGCUCAAAUUUAAAGAUGGUGGCCGCAAGCUUUUGCACGAGCUGCUGAACUUCAAAAUAACUUUUAGAUUGAUUUCAAGCUUGCGAAACGUGCAACAGCAAUUUCGAGCAAACUUGUGGAGGCACGAGAUAUUUAUGAAUGGAAUCAAGGAUCAUUCUAUGGAUGGAAGUGAAAAGCGUAUAUUUUAUUGAAAAACUCGAUUAAAUAUAAUAAAAAGUGUAAUUUCAUUAGUUCGUAUUCUUUAAAGUGGAAAUUAAAUUGCAUAAACCUAUGCAAAACAGAAUUGGUUGCUGUGCAAUUUUUCAUUAAUGAAAAUUCAUCUAGGAUCUAUUGAGACGCUUCGUAUAAGCUACGUGAAAAUUCAUGUCGUUGUUACGUGAAAUCGCGAUGGAUCUGACGAGGUCCAUUUGUUCAUGCGUUCAUUCAGUGCUACCAACGAUCCACGUCAGUGUUACGUGAAAAGUGGGAUGGAAAUAAACCACGUAUGUUUUCACGUAACAAUGACGUUUGGAUUAUUUUGAGUGUGGAGCUUUUUUCCAUCGCAGCAACCGAGGGGCGGUUGAAUGGUGACAGAACAAACUGGUAUGGAACCUUGAAUGAAAUUGUGAAGAAUCCAUUUAGAUUUUGAAAAUUUUAUUUUAAAAAAAUCGUAGCUAUAAUAUUUUGAUAAAAUAUGCUGGAGAAACUUAAUGAGCAAUACCAGAUCAAAUUUAUUGAGGAACUCUUCGUAGAGUUUAUAAUAGAUUUCAUCGAAUAAUGCUUGAAAGAGUUUUUAGAGAAAUGCGUGGAAUUAUUGUAGGAUUUCUUGGAAAAAUGCCGAAACGUUUUUAUUUUCAAAAACUCUGGAAUAAACCGUCGUGGAAAAACUCCUGUAGGAUCCGCGGGUAAUCUCCGAGAAUCAAUAGUUGGAAAAGCUGGUCAAAGAACCAGUAGAAAAAAGAUGUGGAGAAAAUCCUGCUAGGAUUUUUUCAGAGUAAUCUCUGUGAGAAUUACUGGAUGUACCAUGCUGCUUCGAAAGCCGGACAGUGGGCUUUUUCAUUAAACACGGCAGAAGCGUUUGAGUGCUCUAGGAUUUUCUGGAUCAAACUCUGAAGAAAUUCCUCUAACCAUCCCUUGAGAAAUCGCUGCGCUGGUAGCAUCCCUGAAAGUAUUCCAGAAGAAAUCUUUUGUGAAAUCCUUAGAGAUCCUGAACCAUCUCUCGGGAUCUGAGAAAAAUAUCAUUAGGAACUUGUGGAAUAAUCGCGUAAUAGUCUUUGAAGGUUUAUCUGGAGCCUUAAGAGUUUUGCACCAGUAUUCACUGCAUGUAGAUUAAGGCCUAAGAGUUACUUUAGAUACCAUUUUGAAUAAAAGACUUUUUAGAGACUUA